This 573-nucleotide ribosomal RNA is filed under the name Saccharomyces cerevisiae (brewer's yeast). Its description in RNAcentral is "eukaryotic LSU rRNA". It matches the Rfam family "Eukaryotic large subunit ribosomal RNA", at positions 68 to 658 of the family's 3401-position model. The record is from RNAcentral. Lineage: Eukaryota; Fungi; Ascomycota; Saccharomycetes; Saccharomycetales; Saccharomycetaceae.
ACACGGGUCUGCUUAGUACGGCGAGUGAGCGGCAAAGCUCAAAUUUGAAAUCUGGUACCUUCGGUGCCCGAGUUGUAAUUUGGAGAGGGCAACUUUGGGGCCGUUCCUUGUCUAUGUUCCUUGGAACAGGACGUCAUAGAGGGUGAGAAUCCCGUGUGGCGAGGAGUGCGGUUCUUUGUAAAGUGCCUUCGAAGAGUCGAGUUGUUUGGGAAUGCAGCUCUAAGUGGGUGGUAAAUUCCAUCUAAAGCUAAAUAUUGGCGAGAGACCGAUAGCGAACAAGUACAGUGAUGGAAAGAUGAAAAGAACUUUGAAAAGAGAGUGAAAAAGUACGUGAAAUUGUUGAAAGGGAAGGGCAUUUGAUCAGACAUGGUGUUUUGUGCCCUCUGCUCCUUGUGGGUAGGGGAAUCUCGCAUUUCACUGGGCCAGCAUCAGUUUUGGUGGCAGGAUAAAUCCAUAGGAAUGUAGCUUGCCUCGGUAAGUAUUAUAGCCUGUGGGAAUACUGCCAGCUGGGACUGAGGACUGCGACGUAAGUCAAGGAUGCUGGCAUAAUGGUUAUAUGCCGCCCGUCUUGAA